GGAGGGAAGGGGUUUUUCCGGGAAAUUAAUUGGGGCGCUGGAAGCGCGCGCAGGCUGGAUCUCUUAAGAUCUGCCAUGUGAAAGCCCCCGGCUCAACCGGGGAGGGUCAUCUCGAAACUGGGAGACUUGAGUGCAGGAGAGAAGAGUGGAAUUCCACGUGUAGCGGUGAAAUGCGUAGAAGAUGUGGAGGAAACACCAGUGGCGAAGGCGACUCUUUGGCCUGUAACUGACACUGAGGCGCGAAAGCGUGGGGAGCAAACAGGAUUAGAUACCCGGGUAGUCCCACGCCCGUAAAC
This 296-nucleotide ribosomal RNA is filed under the name uncultured bacterium. Its description in RNAcentral is "partial 16S ribosomal RNA". The stretch from base 42 to 296 matches the Rfam family "Bacterial small subunit ribosomal RNA", at positions 563 to 807 of the family's 1533-position model. The record is from RNAcentral.